Molecule: long non-coding RNA, 836 nt
Filed under: Homo sapiens (human)
Lineage: Eukaryota; Metazoa; Chordata; Mammalia; Primates; Hominidae
Description: HSALNT0178064
Source: RNAcentral
GGUGCUGGGUGGCCUGGGUAUUUUUAGAAGGCCAGAGGCAAACAUGCCUGGAAUCCUGGGUGUUGCUGAGCCAAAGAAGCUGGGAGGCCAGCAGAGGGUGAACCAGAAGAGGUGGCCUCGGCCCGGGUCCUAACUUCACCAAGUAACACAAUGGCCACUGCCCUCCCAUCUCUACUGGAGUGCCUCCAGGAAGCUGAGAAAAGAGCAACUGAACCAGAGUGCCUGCGAAAGUCCUGAGACUUACUCUGAUCGGAUCAUCUUGGGUCACACGCCAUGCCUGACCCAAUCACUGUGGCUGAAGGAUGGAUGCACGGAUUGUUCAAGCCUAGGUCAUGUUUUCCCCGCUGGAGUUGGCUUCCCUGGAACCGGAGUGAUCCCAAAAGAAAUGUGAGAACUGCAGGGAAGACAGAAGGAGGAUGAAUGUGGGGGAAAUACUGAAUUGAGGAUUUACCCCAUUCUCUCACAUGAGAGCAUAAAGUUUCUGCCUCAGGAAGAGAGUGGGACUAAAACUAAAAUUUCAGGUGUUCUAUAAUUCUUAGAAUAAUAGCCACUGAUAUACUUAAAGACUGUGUUAAAUAAAUGGUUCAUACAGAGUAACAGGGCAGAAUUAAAAUCCUCCAGUAAGAAAAGGGAGCGAGGGAGAGAGAGGAGAUAGCAGAGAGUCCCUAAAGGGUGUCCAGGGCCUGACGACUGGGUGGGGCAUCAAGAUGGAAGGAGAACAGGGCUGAGCUGCUUCCGGAGAAAGCACAUGUCUGAUGGGAAUUUUGUGAGGUGAAAUUGUGAAAGUGAUAGUGAAGGAAGCCACUAAAAAAAGCCUUCUCUUCUAUUUCCCAUAG